UGGGACCACCCCUGACUGCCUUGUUAUGA
This 29-nucleotide non-coding RNA is filed under the name Rattus norvegicus (Norway rat). The record is from RNAcentral. Lineage: Eukaryota; Metazoa; Chordata; Mammalia; Rodentia; Muridae.